This 520-nucleotide ribosomal RNA is filed under the name uncultured Glomus. RNAcentral describes it as "SSU rRNA". It matches the Rfam family "Eukaryotic small subunit ribosomal RNA", at positions 569 to 1088 of the family's 1831-position model. The record is from RNAcentral. Lineage: Eukaryota; Fungi; Glomeromycota; Glomeromycetes; Glomerales; Glomeraceae.
AGCAGCCGCGGUAAUUCCAGCUCCAAUAGCGUAUAUUAAAGUUGUUGCAGUUAAAAAGCUCGUAGUUGAAUUUCGGGGUUAGUAGGUUGGUCAUGCCUCUGGUAUGUACUGGUCUCACUGAUUCCUCCUUCCUGAUGAACCGUAAUGCCAUUAAUUUGGUGUUGCGGGGAAUUUGGACUGUUACUUUGAAAAAAUUAGAGUGUUUAAAGCAAGCUAACGCUUGAAUACAUUAGCAUGGAAUAAUGAAAUAGGACUUUCGAUCCUAUUUUGUUGGUUUCUAGGAUUGACGUAAUGAUUAAUAGGGAUAGUUGGGGGCAUUAGUAUUCAAUUGUCAGAGGUGAAAAUUCUUGGAUUUAUUGAAGACUAACUACUGCGAAAGCAUUUGCCAAGGAUGUUUUCAUUAAUCAAGAACGAAAGUUAGGGAUCGAAGACGAUCAGAUACCGUCGUAGUCUUAACCAUAAACUAUGCCGACUAGGGAUCGGAUGAUGUUAAUUUUUUAAUGUACUUCAUUCGGCGCCG